CUGGCGGCGUGCCUAACACAUGCAAGUCGAACGGAGNGUUGCGCUGAAUUGAAGUAGCUUGCUACUGGAUUUCUUGUAACACUUAGUGGCGGACGGGUGAGUAACGCGUGAGUAACCUGCCUUACAGAGGGGGACAACAGUUGGAAACGACUGCUAAUACCGCAUGAUGUAUAUUUGAGGCAUCUCAGAUAUACCAAAGGAGCAAUCCGCUGUAAGAUGGACUCGCGUCCGAUUAGAUAGUUGGUGAGGUAACGGCCCACCAAGUCUGCGAUCGGUAGCCGGACUGAGAGGUUGAACGGCCACAUUGGGACUGAGACACGGGCCCAGACUCCUACGGGAGGCAGCAGUGGGGGAUAUUGCACAAUGGAGGAAACUCUGAUGCAGCAACGCCGCGUGAGGGAAGAAGGUUUUCGGAUUGUAAACCUCUGUUUUUAGUGAAGAAACAAAUGACGGUAGCUAAAGAGGAAGCCACGGCUAACUACGUG
This 485-nucleotide ribosomal RNA is filed under the name uncultured bacterium. RNAcentral's name for it is "bacterial SSU rRNA". It matches the Rfam family "Bacterial small subunit ribosomal RNA", at positions 36 to 507 of the family's 1533-position model. The record is from RNAcentral.